UUCUCGAGAAGAGCUGACAUGCAACUGAGAUGCUAAGGUGAUGGUAUUCCAAACCAACCAUGCUAUGUCAUGUUGAAAAGUUAAAACAUAUGACGGUUUGWGAUGGGCUUGAAAUGCCAACACCAUCGCAUCUCAUGUUCCACGUAAGUUACUCUCCACU
This 160-nucleotide microRNA precursor is filed under the name Malus domestica (apple). RNAcentral's name for it is "miR10996a stem-loop (mdm-MIR10996a)". Lineage: Eukaryota; Viridiplantae; Streptophyta; Magnoliopsida; Rosales; Rosaceae. The record is from miRBase by way of RNAcentral.